RNAcentral lists this non-coding RNA (31 nucleotides) under Homo sapiens (human). RNAcentral also lists the same sequence under 1 other name. Lineage: Eukaryota; Metazoa; Chordata; Mammalia; Primates; Hominidae. The record is from RNAcentral.
UGAAAGCAAAGACCGAGUGGAGACGCUCAGU